CCUACGGGAGGCAGCAGUGAGGAAUAUUGGUCAAUGGACGAGAGUCUGAACCAGCCAAGUAGCGUGAAGGAUGACUGCCCUAUGGGUUGUAAACUUCUUUUAUAAAGGAAUAAAACGAGGCACGUGUGCCUCUUUGCAUGUACUUUAUGAAUAAGGAUCGGCUAACUCCGUGCCAGCAGCCGCGGUAAUACGGAGGAUCCGAGCGUUAUCCGGAUUUAUUGGGUUUAAAGGGAGCGUAGACGGGUUGUUAAGUCAGUUGUGAAAGUUUGCGGCUCAACCGUAAAAUUGCAAUUGAUACUGGCAGUCUUGAGUACAGUUGAGGUAGGCGGAAUUCGUGGUGUAGCGGUGAAAUGCUUAGAUAUCACGAAGAACCCCGAUUGCGAAGGCAGCUUACUAAACUGUGACUGACGUUGAUGCUCGAAAGUGUGGGUAUCAAACAGGAUUAGAUACCCUGGUAGUC
RNAcentral lists this ribosomal RNA (460 nucleotides) under uncultured bacterium. Its description in RNAcentral is "partial 16S ribosomal RNA". It matches the Rfam family "Bacterial small subunit ribosomal RNA", at positions 338 to 795 of the family's 1533-position model. The record is from RNAcentral.